CUGUCUCCACCCGAGACUCAGUGAAAUUGAAAUCGCUGUGAAGAUGCAGUGUAUCCGCGGCUAGACGGAAAGACCCCGUGAACCUUUACUGUAGCUUUGCACUGGACUUUGAGCCUGCUUGUGUAGGAUAGGUGGGAGGCUUUGAAGCGUGGACGCCAGUUCGCGUGGAGCCAUCCUUGAAAUACCACCCUGGCAUGCUUGAGGUUCUAACUCUGGUCCGUUAUCCGGAUCGAGGACAGUGUAUGGUGGGCAGUUUGACUGGGGCGGUCUCCUCCUAAAGAGUAACGGAGGAGUACGAAGGUGCGCUCAGACCGGUCGGAAAUCGGUCGUAGAGUAUAAAGGCAAAAGCGCGCUUGACUGCGAGACAGACACGUCGAGCAGGUACGAAAGUAGGUCUUAGUGAUCCGGUGGUUCUGUAUGGAAGGGCCAUCGCUCAACGGAUAAAAGGUACUCCGGGGAUAACAGGCUG
RNAcentral lists this ribosomal RNA (469 nucleotides) under Escherichia coli. Its description in RNAcentral is "partial 23S ribosomal RNA". It matches the Rfam family "Bacterial large subunit ribosomal RNA", at positions 2016 to 2484 of the family's 2925-position model. Lineage: Bacteria; Pseudomonadati; Pseudomonadota; Gammaproteobacteria; Enterobacterales; Enterobacteriaceae. The record is from RNAcentral.